This 794-nucleotide ribosomal RNA is filed under the name uncultured bacterium. RNAcentral's name for it is "bacterial SSU rRNA". It matches the Rfam family "Bacterial small subunit ribosomal RNA", at positions 71 to 861 of the family's 1533-position model. The record is from RNAcentral.
AGCGCGGGGCAACCUGGCGGCGAGUGGCGAACGGGUGAGUAAUAUAUCGGAACGUACCCUGGAGUGGGGGAUAACGUAGCGAAAGUUACGCUAAUACCGCAUACGAUCCAAGGAUGAAAGCAGGGGACCGCAAGGCCUUGUGCUCCUGGAGCGGCCGAUAUCUGAUUAGCUAGUUGGCGGGGUAAAAGCCCACCAAGGCAACGAUCAGUAGCUGGUCUGAGAGGACGACCAGCCACACUGGAACUGAGACACGGUCCAGACUCCUACGGGAGGCAGCAGUGGGGAAUUUUGGACAAUGGGCGCAAGCCUGAUCCAGCAAUGCCGCGUGAGUGAAGAAGGCCUUCGGGUUGUAAAGCUCUUUUGUCAGGGAAGAAACGGUGGGGGCUAAUAUCCCCUGCUAAUGACGGUACCGGCAGAAGAAGCACCGGCUAACUACGUGCCAGCAGCCGCGGUAAUACGUAGGGUGCGAGCGUUAAUCGGAAUUACUGGGCGUAAAGCGUGCGCAGGCGGAUUGUUAAGCAAGACGUGAAAUCCCCGGGCUUAACCUGGGAAUGGCGUUUUGAACUGGCAGUCUAGAGUGCGUCAGAGGGGGGUGGAAUUCCACGUGUAGCAGUGAAAUGCGUAGAGAUGUGGAGGAACACCGAUGGCGAAGGCAGCCCCCUGGGAUGACACUGACGCUCAUGUACGAAAGCGUGGGUAGCAAACAGGAUUAGAUACCCUGGUAGUCCACGCCCUAAACGAUGUCAACUGGUUGUUGGGGGAGUGAAAUCCCUUAGUAACGAAGCUAACGCGUG